GGAGACCUCCUUUCUAGUCAUGCUUGAGAGUGAUCCUCUCAAAGAUCCAGAAAUGGCUAAGGCACUCCAGUCUGGUUUGCUUGUAGCCAGGGUGGCCU
RNAcentral lists this microRNA precursor (98 nucleotides) under Cricetulus griseus (Chinese hamster). RNAcentral's name for it is "mir-692". The record is from RNAcentral. Lineage: Eukaryota; Metazoa; Chordata; Mammalia; Rodentia; Cricetidae.